Nelumbo nucifera (sacred lotus) is the source of this 663-nucleotide long non-coding RNA. RefSeq lists it as uncharacterized. The record is from RefSeq and is a predicted model, not a curated record. Lineage: Eukaryota; Viridiplantae; Streptophyta; Magnoliopsida; Proteales; Nelumbonaceae.
UCAGCAAUCCACUCACUCCCCUAAACCUGUACAUUCUUGCUUCACCCAAAUCUGUGUGUCUGUCAUGAAUCGCACUGAAAACCUUCAAAACUCUCAAUAAAAUCAAAAUCAAAGUCAGCAAAACGCUCAGCAAUAUGUAUGCUUCCGAUGCCAUCGCUAUGCGUUCGGGAGCCUUGGAGCAAUCCAACAUCAUUACUAUGUUUGCCAUAGAGAACUCACCCCGCGAAUGUGUCCUACUUGUGGCAACGGAUUUUUCACCGAAGCCGGAUGUCUGGGCCAUUGGAACUAACCAAAAUCAUUAAAACCAAGAAUGAUAUCAACGGCAAGACUUCCCAUAUUGGAAAUUUCAUCGGCCGAAAAGGGCAUAAGAUUAAUCACAUGGGAAAAUAGUCUGCGGUCUUCAUAGGGUGUAUCCAUAAGACUCCACAGGUUUGUCAAUGCCUUCCCAAGUUUGUGAAGCUGCAAAGAUUGUAAAGAUGGGUAAAAUGCUCCUAGAAAACAGCAAAUGUUAUGGGUAAUAUAUGAGGAAGAUAAUUUUAAUUGUGCCUUCAGUAUAGUAUGUUUCUACUGUUUGAUAGUAGUGCAGCAAGUAUCAUCUAAUGGAUUUGGUCUUCACUGGCACCUCUAAUGAAUUAUUUUUUGUCUCUGACUUUGAUGUUUCAA